UCAUUGAGGUUCACUCCAAUAGCUUGUAUAAGAAUAUCCAUGUGUGUCAGGUCUGAAUCAUUUUACCCUAUAAUGAUAUGAUUGUUAAGGACCCAUAUCUAUUCCUUAUCAACUUAGACAGGAUGCUCUCUGAAGUGUUUUCAGAUUAUCAGUUGGGGAGACAUUGCAUUUCAAGGGGGGCCAGGGUUAGAAGUUAACAGUUAUUCUUGCUUGGGGGCUUACUUUCUUUGGACACAUUGGCUCCACAUCAAUAUGUAACAUCUUGAUCUUUGACUUGAUGUGA
This 283-nucleotide unclassified non-coding RNA is filed under the name Hevea brasiliensis (rubber tree). Lineage: Eukaryota; Viridiplantae; Streptophyta; Magnoliopsida; Malpighiales; Euphorbiaceae. The record is from RNAcentral.